GAAACUAAAAGUAUUUUAAUACAUAAAUCUGUACAGUCCAUAUGACACACUCACAUUUUACAUAUUCUCCUGGCUUAUUAAAACAUUUAAAAACACUCCAGAAUUUGAAAAUUUAAUAAUAUUCACCUACUAACACAUAUAAAUCACUGAAUGGUCAAAAUGUUUUUAUUUAAGCAUGUAUAUGUUCAGUGACUCUCAAGUUAACUAGGUUCAUUUUCCCUAAAGAUAUAGUAAUUCCAUGUAUAACCUUAAAAGUUUGCUGAGGCAAAAGACACCUUGCAACAUGAAGCAUUAUGAUUAAACAAUUACACUAAAACUUAUCCCUAAACCUGGAAAUUGUCACUGCUGGCUAAAUUCUUAAAAGAAGUUCACUACUGUUAAAACUCUGCUCAGUUUUUUCCCAGUACAAUUUCUGUAUCCUUAU
This 424-nucleotide long non-coding RNA is filed under the name Bos taurus (domestic cattle). RNAcentral's name for it is "long non-coding RNA NONBTAT010855". Lineage: Eukaryota; Metazoa; Chordata; Mammalia; Artiodactyla; Bovidae. The record is from RNAcentral.